CCUGCGCCUUUCGGCCGUGGUGCACAUGCAGCCUGCCCGAAAACGUAUGGAUAUAGAGGGUUCGCGCUUUGGCGAGUAGCUUUCAGCGGGACGUCGGACCGUUGCUCAACGUUUUGGCCUUGGCUGCGAUACAACUGCAGCACCCCGUCAUCUAUGCCGUUUCCCGUCUUCGCUUUCUCUGCCCCCUCCCUUUUCCCCCUUUUUUUCGGUUGUUCCUCUUGAGCCGCGCUGCCGUGUCGGUUGUGGUGAGGCUGGGACACUUGACUUCACAUCAGCUGUUUCCCCGCACCCCUCCUCUUUUGCAUUUUCACCCCUUUUGCGUGCGUCUUGCGUGUUCCAGUCUCCACCUUCUUGCUGUUGCUCUUUGUUUGGACGUCACGUGGUCGACACAGUAGCGCCGCCGCUGCCGCCCUCGUCGUGCUCUUUCUUUCGAGCCCCUUUGUGCACGGUGCUCGCCGGCCGUGCGCGAGCGCUUUAGGCGUUCGUCAUUUCUUCGCUCCUCGUUCGGCACGGCAACAAAAUGUCUUCCGUAUCCUCCUCGAAGGUAAACCGCGGGCGCCGCAACUGCCUGGAACAGGCUUGGAACUACUUGAACACAGCUUUUAGCGCCACGGCGGGUCUCAAGGUGCUCCUGUGCGAUGAUGCGACUCGUGAAAUCCUCUCCGUUGCCUAUUCUCAGCACCAGCUGCUGCAGCAUAAUGUAGUGCUGGUCGAUAUGCUGGCGAACGAGGAGCGCUAUCCCAUGAAGCACUUCUCCUGUGUGAUUGUGUGCCGCCCCUCUGCGGCAUCGUUGGCAGCUGUAUAUCAGGAGCUGGCGGAGGGCAACUUCGCCUCCUAUGACAUCUACUUUACCUACAUGCUAGACUCCUCGCUGGUGCAGUCCUUGGCGAACGCAGAUGUGCUUAAUCUAGUGUCGCGCGUUGGGGAACUGUACAUCAACUCCAUUCCCGUGACGGAGUGGGUGUGUCUGAUGCAGCUGAAACCCUCGCCGCUGGCCAAAGGCCCAAGCCCGUUCAUGAACCCCAUCACGUACAGUCAGUGGGACCCCAAGUCGCUCGAGCGCAUGUCGGAGGGCAUCAUUAGCAUGCUGCUGUCGACGAAUCGCCGGGCUGUCAUUCGGUACCGCGAGGGCAGCAAGGUUUCCGAGAAGCUCGCGGUCGAGGUGGCAGCUCGCAUGAAGAGUGUUCACGCCACAUUCCCUGACCUCAAGGCCACCGAGAGUGUGCUGGUGAUCUUGGACCGCAAGGACGACCCUGUCACCCCACUGUUGAUGCCCUGGACCUACGAGGCAAUGAUUCAUGAGCUGAUCGGCUUCCAGCGCGGCAACGAAGUCGUCAUCGACGACCCAGAUGCGAAGCCGGAGGAUCGCGUGCAUGUCGUCGCGCCGCAGACGGACGGCUUUUUUGGCCAGCAUCGCUACGACGAUUGGGGCCAGGUCUGCGUGGCGGUGAGUGAGAUGGUGAAGGCGUACAAGGAGAUGAACCAAUUUGACCGCAACACCGUUUCCUUGGAUGAAAUCAAAAAUUUCAUGAACCGCUUCCCUGAGGCUCGCAAGCAGUCGGUGCAGGUGACCCGACACUGCGCUAUCACGAGCGAGCUGGUUGCCGAGAUCAACGGCCGCAACCUCACGCGGCUCUCGGUACUCGAGCAGGACAUCAUCUCCAACAACAACGUGACGGAGCACAGCCGCCUCGUGCUGGAGGUGGUACAGGACCCCAAGACGGACGUCGACGAUGCGCUGCGCAUUGUGAUGCUGUACCACCUGCACUACGAAAGGGUGGCCGGCAACAUCAUCAUGCAGCUAAAGCAGGAGCUCAUGCAGCGUCAAUGCCCGCAGGAGAAGGUCCAGCUGAUCGACCGCCUUAUCGAGUAUGCUGGACAGGACCAGCGGUGCCACGAGAUAUUCCGAUCUUCAACGGGGCACAUGCUCAAGACGGUCGCGAAGGCUGUUGGGCAGUUUGGCAAGGACGUGCAGAAUGUGCUCACACAGCACGUACCGCUCGUCAAGAAGAUCAUCAACCGUGUCUACAACGGUACACUAUCGGUGGAGAAGUAUCCGGUGCAGAGGGUGCCGGGGUGUCCUAUUCCCGCUGGCCAGGCGCCGUUUGUGCGCGCCAAGGACAUUAUCGUUGUGUACAUUGGCGGCUACACUUUUUCGGAGGCGAUGCUGCUGGCGCAGAUCAACGAAGGCAACGUGGACAAUAACCAGGAGACGCUGAUGAACUUCGGCAAGCAGGUAUCGCGUAAGCUGGGCACCGACGGCGUCACGGGGCCAUCGACGGAGCCGUACACCGCCAAGAUCGAGGCGCACGUCUCCCUCAUUACGACGUCGAUGCUGAACAGCAAGGAUUUUAUACACUCACUGCCCUCCUAGAGGAAAUCCAGGAUUCGUCUGUGAGCAGGCGGGGGCCAGUAGGUUGGGAGGAGGGGCACGACAGGCCCUCAGGUCAAGGGAGUCCAUCGAGACGUGCACGUUUUUGUUCUGUGUAGACGGUGGAGGGGGUAAGGCGUCUGCAAACAUGGCUUGAAUUCUCGUUGCUUUGACGAGAUAUGUAGUUGCGGCUGAUGCCCCAAGUGGGUAUGUGUGCGGUGUAUCGCUGUGUAUCCCGAUCGUUCAGGUGCACCAUUAUCUCUCGGCGCGCCUGAACGAUGAAAAGACGGUGGCGCUGUUUGGUCUGCCGCUGUCGCUCUGCGUUCUGCAGCGUGCACUCAUUCCUCGUUUCCACCAUUGGCCCUGCCAACCCUCUCCGCACCUCCUCACUCGCAUGGGGGGGUAGGCGAGGCGUUACGUUGAGAUCUUGACUGCGGCACUUGGUCUCUUCGUACGUGAGCAUGCCUAUUUGUUCCGUGCGUUUCCUUUCCCCGCGUUGCUGGUGUGUGUUCGAGCCUACGACCGUCCCUCGAUGCGAGUUGCUCUCUGGUAGCGAGAGC
This 2931-nucleotide unclassified non-coding RNA is filed under the name Leishmania donovani. RNAcentral describes it as "gene:LdHU3.36.0640(CDS-product:vacuolar_protein_s orting-associated_protein_45_putative)". The record is from RNAcentral. Lineage: Eukaryota; Euglenozoa; Kinetoplastea; Trypanosomatida; Trypanosomatidae.